This 266-nucleotide ribosomal RNA is filed under the name uncultured bacterium. RNAcentral's name for it is "partial 16S ribosomal RNA". It matches the Rfam family "Bacterial small subunit ribosomal RNA", at positions 87 to 354 of the family's 1533-position model. The record is from RNAcentral.
CUGUCUUAGUGGCGGACGGGUGAGUAACGCGUGGGCAACCUGCCCUGUACCGGGGGAUAACACUUAGAAAUAGGUGCUAAUACCGCAUAAUAGGGAAUACCGCAUGGUAAUCCUUUGAAAACUCCGGUGGUACAGGAUGGGCCCGCGUCUGAUUAGCCAGUUGGCGGGGUAACGGCCCACCAAAGCGACGAUCAGCAGCCGGCCUGAGAGGGCGGACGGCCACACUGGGACUGAGACACGGCCCAGACUCCUACGGAAGGCAGCAG